RNAcentral lists this ribosomal RNA (497 nucleotides) under uncultured bacterium. RNAcentral's name for it is "partial 16S ribosomal RNA". It matches the Rfam family "Bacterial small subunit ribosomal RNA", at positions 28 to 507 of the family's 1533-position model. The record is from RNAcentral.
GAUGAACGCUGGCGGCGUGCCUAAUACAUGCAAGUCGAGCGAACAGAUGAGGAGCUUGCUCCUCUGACGUUAGCGGCGGACGGGUGAGUAACACGUGGAUAACCUACCUAUAAGACUGGGAUAACUUCGGGAAACCGGAGCUAAUACCGGAUAAUAUAUUGAACCGCAUGGUUCAAUAGUAAAAGACGGUUUUGCUGUCACUUAUAGAUGGAUCCGCGCCGCAUUAGCUAGUUGGUAAGGUAACGGCUUACCAAGGCAACGAUGCGUAGCCGACCUGAGAGGGUGAUCGGCCACACUGGAACUGAGACACGGUCCAGACUCCUACGGGAGGCAGCAGUAGGGAAUCUUCCGCAAUGGGCGAAAGCCUGACUGAGCAACGCCGCGUGAGUGAUGAAGGUCUUCGGAUCGUAAAACUCUGUUAUUAGGGAAGAACAAAUGUGUAAGUAACUAUGCACGUCUUGACGGUACCUAAUCAGAAAGCCACGGCUAACUACGUG